RNAcentral lists this long non-coding RNA (247 nucleotides) under Phoenix dactylifera (date palm). Its description in RNAcentral is "long non-coding RNA (PDAC_LNC023160)". Lineage: Eukaryota; Viridiplantae; Streptophyta; Magnoliopsida; Arecales; Arecaceae. The record is from RNAcentral.
AAUAUAUGCACUAACGUAAAGAAGGAAGAAUGAGAAAGGUCAAUCGCAAACACAAGGUUUUAUAGUGGUUCGGAGCUUCCACUGCUCCUACAUCCACUCCCCAAAUCACCUUUGGGAAUUUUCACUAUAAUCCACGAUUACAGUACGGUAGUUUUGCGAGUUCACUACCUAACUCGUUGUUUUACACCGGGCUCACAACAAACCCAAAACCCCCAAUUUCACUUAGGCUUGGGACGCCUUUCCCUUG